RNAcentral lists this ribosomal RNA (147 nucleotides) under Dictyosphaerium ehrenbergianum. Its description in RNAcentral is "partial 28S ribosomal RNA". It matches the Rfam family "Eukaryotic large subunit ribosomal RNA", at positions 1 to 147 of the family's 3401-position model. The record is from RNAcentral. Lineage: Eukaryota; Viridiplantae; Chlorophyta; Trebouxiophyceae; Chlorellales; Chlorellaceae.
UCGACCUGAGCUCAGGCAAGAUUACCCGCUGAACUUAAGCAUAUCAAUAAGCGGANGAAAAGAAACUAACCAGGAUUCCCCUAGUAACGGCGAGUGANCGGGGAAAAGCCCAGCUUGAAAUCUCCAGCCCCCGGCUGGCGAAUUGUA